GACGAACGCUGGCGGCGUGCUUAACACAUGCAAGUCGAACGGUGAAGCGCCUUCCUUUUUGGUGGGUGUGGAUGAGUGGCGAACGGGUGAGUAACACGUGAGUAACCUGCCCCCUUCUUCUGGAUAACCGCAUGAAAGUGUGGCUAAUACGGGAUAUUCUGGGUCUGUCGCAUGAUGGGUCUGGGAAAGAUAUUGUUUCGGUGGGGGAUGGGCUCGCGGCGUAUUAGCUUGUUGGUGGGGUGAUGGCCUACCAAGGCGGCGACGGAUAGCCGGCCUGAGAGGAGGGUCGACGGCCCCAGUGGGGAUGCGCCGCGGACAAGACUACGGCGGGCGGCAGCAGGGGGGAAUACGGCACAGGGGGCGGAAGGAUGAUGCAGCGACGCCGGGGGGGGGAUGGAGGCCUGCGGGUUGUGAACCUCUUUCGGGAGUGAAGCAGGCCGGCCUCGUUUGUGGGUGGGUUGACGGUAGCUGGAUAAGAAGCGCCGGCUAACUACGUG
Molecule: ribosomal RNA, 497 nt
Filed under: uncultured bacterium
Lineage: Bacteria
Description: partial 16S ribosomal RNA
Rfam family: Bacterial small subunit ribosomal RNA
Source: RNAcentral